This 83-nucleotide small RNA is filed under the name Escherichia coli. RNAcentral describes it as "partial RtT sRNA". It matches the Rfam family "RtT RNA", at positions 50 to 130 of the family's 130-position model. From Rfam's summary of the family: This family represents a bacterial cis-regulatory element known as RtT RNA. The exact function of RtT is unknown although it is thought that it may be involved in changing the cellular response in relation to amino acid starvation. Lineage: Bacteria; Pseudomonadati; Pseudomonadota; Gammaproteobacteria; Enterobacterales; Enterobacteriaceae. The record is from RNAcentral. RNAcentral also lists the same sequence under 2 other names.
GAGCGCCAGCGAGAGAGCGUUGCCGCAGGCAACGACCCGAAGGGCGAAGCGCGCAGCGUUGAGUAAUCCUUCCCCCACCACCA